Molecule: microRNA precursor, 194 nt
Filed under: Oryza meridionalis
Lineage: Eukaryota; Viridiplantae; Streptophyta; Magnoliopsida; Poales; Poaceae
Description: MIR812 microRNA precursor family
Rfam family: MIR812 microRNA precursor family
Source: Rfam by way of RNAcentral
AAAGAGACAAACCCUAGUUUCCGUGCCAAAUGUUUGACCGUUCGUCUUAUUUAAAAAAAAUUAAAAAGACAAGUCACGCAUAAAAUAUUAAUCAUGUUUUAUCAUCUAACAACAAUGAAAAUACGAAUUAUAAAAAUAUUUCAUAUAAGACGGACAGUCAAAGUUGGACACGGAAACCCAGGGUUUGCCUUUUU